AGUGCAAAGAGAGAGGGAUUAGGGUCACCUCCACUCCCAAUGGUCCCACCGACGAUGUUGCAGACAUGGCUAUUUUACUCGCAAUCGCAACUUUGAGGAGGAUUUGUGUAGCUGAUCGCUUCGUCAGGAAUGGGAUUUGGCAGGAAAAGGAUUUCAAUUUGACCGCUAAGGUACAUUUUUAGCCUUAGGUCCAACUUAUCUCUCUAAUUUU
This 211-nucleotide unclassified non-coding RNA is filed under the name Hevea brasiliensis (rubber tree). The record is from RNAcentral. Lineage: Eukaryota; Viridiplantae; Streptophyta; Magnoliopsida; Malpighiales; Euphorbiaceae.